Molecule: ribosomal RNA, 480 nt
Filed under: uncultured bacterium
Lineage: Bacteria
Description: bacterial SSU rRNA
Rfam family: Bacterial small subunit ribosomal RNA
Source: RNAcentral
GAUCAGUGGCUACGAGGACGACGCUGGCGGCGUGCUUAACACAUGCAAGUCGAACGGAAAGGCCCCCUUGUGGGGUACUCGAGUGGCGAACGGGUGAGUAACACGUGAGUAACCUACCCUUGACUUUGGGAUAACUUCAGGAAACUGGGGCUAAUACCGGAUAGGAGCUCCUGCUGCAUGGUGGGGGUUGGAAAGUUUCGGCGGUUGGGGAUGGACUCGCGGCUUAUCAGCUUGUUGGUGGGGUAGUGGCUCACCAAGGCUUUGACGGGUAGCCGGCCUGAGAGGGUGACCGGCCACAUUGGGACUGAGAUACGGCCCAGACUCCUACGGGAGGCAGCAGUGGGGAAUAUUGCACAAUGGGCGGAAGCCUGAUGCAGCAACGCCGCGUGCGGGAUGACGGCCUUCGGGUUGUAAACCGCUUCCGCCUGUGACGAAGCGUGAGUGACGGUAAUGGGUAAAGAAGCACCGGCUAACUACGUG